This 269-nucleotide ribosomal RNA is filed under the name uncultured eukaryote. Its description in RNAcentral is "partial small subunit ribosomal RNA". It matches the Rfam family "Eukaryotic small subunit ribosomal RNA", at positions 1161 to 1452 of the family's 1831-position model. The record is from RNAcentral.
AGGGCACCACCAGGGGUGGAGCCUGCGGCUUAAUUUGACUCAACACGGGGAAACUCACCAGGUCCAGACACAAUGAGGAUUGACAGAUUGAGAGCUCUUUCUUGAUUUUGUGGGUGGUGGUGCAUGGCCGUUCUUAGUUGGUGGAGUGAUUUGUCUGCUUAAUUGCGAUAACGAACGAGACCUUAACCUGCUAAAUAGCCCGUAUUGCUUUGGCAGUACGCCGGCUUCUUAGAGGGACUAUCGGCUCAAGCCGAUGGAAGUUUGAGGCA